CCUAUACCUAGGACCUACCUAACCUGCAAAGUGGUUAAAAUCACACUUCUAAAAUCACAAGUCCCAAACCCACAUCUCAAUAACAUCACAUGGUCCCUCCUGGGCCUUCUAAACCAGGUAAAACUCACAUACUCAGAAAAUUCAAUUAUAGUCCUUAAAACUGAUAUUCUACAGAAAUCAUUCAAACUAGCUCUAAAAAUUUUAAGUUUUGAAGCUUUUAAAUUAAAAAUAUUUUAAAAUGUUAAUUCACCAUAAAAAUUUUCCUAUUUAUUAGUGUUAUCUAGUAAAAAUAUUUAAAAUGUUUUUUAGAACAUAAUUUUAACAUACCUUAAAGUUCUAAUUUUAAAUUCUAUUUUUCAGCGAUUAUCUAUUUUAUUAGUCGUUAACAUUUAGGUUACAAUUUU
This 404-nucleotide unclassified non-coding RNA is filed under the name Hevea brasiliensis (rubber tree). The record is from RNAcentral. Lineage: Eukaryota; Viridiplantae; Streptophyta; Magnoliopsida; Malpighiales; Euphorbiaceae.